Long non-coding RNA from Homo sapiens (human), 315 nucleotides. NCBI's taxonomy places the organism in Eukaryota, Metazoa, Chordata, Mammalia, Primates, Hominidae. The record is from Ensembl.
GAAGGCAGCUGUACGGCUUUCAUGAGUUGUUUCAACAGAGGGAGAAGAAGCCAGGAGAGCCAAUUUCUGACGGCAAGUGUUGAAGAAGGUUCAUAUGCUUGCUACCUUCCAAACAGCUCUUCAGGCAGAAGCAGGUACACAGACAGUGCUGGCGGAAAAACCUGAGAAGCAGCUAUCAGUAUUAGACCACAUACGAAAGCCUCUUCGGGACAUUUGCAAGCAUCCAGAGCAGAGAUGUUAAAAAUUCUUAUUAUCCACGAAAGUAUGAUGCAAAAUUCACAGACUUCAGCUUACCUCCCAGUAGAAAACAGAAAA